UUUAAGUUUUAGGGUGCUAAUCAAAUUAUAUACCUAUUAUUUAAGAUAUAUACACAUAUAUACAUAUUUCUUUUUCCUACCUAAGGGUAGGUCCGUCUCUGGAUUCAUGACCCUUAGGCCCAGUGGAGUAAGCAAGAGUUUGUUCUGAGUCGUGUGUGCCUAUUAUCGUAACUUAUGUUUGUAUUUAGUGUUUGGUGUGGAGCAGUAGAGGUUCUAAAACUAUACUACUUCUCUUAUAUUGCUUUUUUUUUUUGUUGGAAUCCCAGGAAAUUUCGCAACCGCUACAGUUUUUGCCACAACUUUGGCCCUUUGAGUGAGCACUCUAUGGCGAGUGCGCACUAGGGUGUCUCCUUAGGCCUACAGGGUCCCAUUGGAUAGUGCAAAUAACCAGGAUUAGAACAGUUCAGGAUAUGCUCAUAAUUGCUUAUGGUGGAGUUACUUGAGCUUAGCAAUGGAAAAAUCAUUCCUACUUGAUUCAAGGACCUCUUUCUCGUGAAGGAUUUUCUGAGUUUUAUAAACACUAGUAGUGCAGUUGCCUUUGAUAAUAAAUGUUGACGGUGUUGAAAUGUUAAAUUUAUUAUUUUGACUUCUCUAAUGCAGCUUGAUUUCAAGA
Nicotiana attenuata is the source of this 613-nucleotide long non-coding RNA. RefSeq lists it as uncharacterized. The transcript has 2 exons. NCBI's taxonomy places the organism in Eukaryota, Viridiplantae, Streptophyta, Magnoliopsida, Solanales, Solanaceae. The record is from RefSeq and is a predicted model, not a curated record.